ACGAGUGGCGGACGGGUGAGUAAUGUCUGGGAAACUGCCUGAUGGAGGGGGAUAACUACUGGAAACGGUGGCUAAUACCGCAUAACGUCGCAAGACCAAAGAGGGGGACCUUCGGGCCUCUUGCCAUCAGAUGUGCCCAGAUGGGAUUAGCUUGUUGGUGAGGUAACGGCUCACCAAGGCGACGAUCCCUAGCUGGUCUGAGAGGAUGACCAGCCACACUGGAACUGAGACACGGUCCAGACUCCUACGGGAGGCAGCAGUGGGGAAUAUUGCACAAUGGGCGCAAGCCUGAUGCAGCCAUGCCGCGUGUAUGAAGAAGGCCUUCGGGUUGUAAAGUACUUUCAGCGGGGAGGAAGGUGUUGUGGUUAAUAACCGCAGCAAUUGACGUUACCCGCAGAAGAAGCACCGGCUAACUCCGUGCCAGCAGCCGCGGUAAUACGGAGGGUGCAAGCGUUAAUCGGAAUUACUGGGCGUAAAGCGCACGCAGGCGGUCUGUCAAGUCGGAUGUGAAAUCCCCGGGCUCAACCUGGGAACUGCAUUCGAAACUGGCAGGCUUGAGUCUUGUAGAGGGGGGUAGAAUUCCAGGUGUAGCGGUGAAAUGCGUAGAGAUCUGGAGGAAUACCGGUGGCGAAGGCGGCCCCCUGGACAAAGACUGACGCUCAGGUGCGAAAGCGUGGGGAGCAAACAGGAUUAGAUACCCUGGUAGUCCACGCCGUAAACGAUGUCUACUUGGAGGCUGUGCCCUUGAGGCGUGGCUUCCGGAGCUAACGCGUUAAGUAGACCGCCUGGGGAGUACGGCCGCAAGGUUAAAACUCAAAUGAAUUGACGGGGGCCCGCACAAGCGGUGGAGCAUGUGGUUUAAUUCGAUGCAACGCGAAGAACCUUACCUGGUCUUGACAUCCACAGAAGUUUGCAGAGAUGCGAAUGUGCCUUCGGGAACUGUGAGACAGGUGCUGCAUGGCUGUCGUCAGCUCGUGUUGUGAAAUGUUGGGUUAAGUCCCGCAACGAGCGCAACCCUUAUCCUUUGUUGCCAGCGGUUAGGCCGGGAACUCAAA
Molecule: ribosomal RNA, 1055 nt
Filed under: Salmonella enterica
Lineage: Bacteria; Pseudomonadati; Pseudomonadota; Gammaproteobacteria; Enterobacterales; Enterobacteriaceae
Description: bacterial SSU rRNA
Rfam family: Bacterial small subunit ribosomal RNA
Source: RNAcentral